Molecule: non-coding RNA, 73 nt
Filed under: bovine gut metagenome
Description: S10-Clostridia ribosomal protein leader
Rfam family: S10-Clostridia ribosomal protein leader
Source: RNAcentral
GCGAUGAAGCGGGAGGUUGCGGCAGCAAUGUCGGUUUUUCCGUGGAGUAUGUCCGAUUUUAAACCGGGCGACA